CAGAAAGUAGUUUAGUUUAGAAUUCUGGCUUUGGGAGCCAGGGGUGGGAGUUAAAAUCUCUCUUUUCUGG
This 70-nucleotide transfer RNA is filed under the name Paraqianlabeo lineatus. RNAcentral's name for it is "tRNA-Pro". It matches the Rfam family "tRNA". Rfam says of the family: Transfer RNA (tRNA) molecules are approximately 80 nucleotides in length. Their secondary structure includes four short double-helical elements and three loops (D, anti-codon, and T loops). The record is from RNAcentral. Lineage: Eukaryota; Metazoa; Chordata; Actinopteri; Cypriniformes; Cyprinidae.